RNAcentral lists this long non-coding RNA (469 nucleotides) under Mytilus galloprovincialis (Mediterranean mussel). The record is from RNAcentral. Lineage: Eukaryota; Metazoa; Mollusca; Bivalvia; Mytilida; Mytilidae.
ACUAUAUUUGGUGUAUGGAAAUAUUUUAUGAUCUUUAUGUCAGUCGCGCAGGUUUUAUUUGACCGUGACCUCAUUUUCACGGUUCAUUGCACAGUGUUAAGUUUUUGUGUUUUGGUCUAUUAUUCUUUAACUUUAAGUAAUGGGUCAACUAUAUAUGUUUUAUAGAAGCAUUGUUAGCUGUACAUGUCUGCCUGGCAUGGUUUAUCUGACCUUGACCUAAUUUUCAAGGUUCAUUGGUCUUUGUUUAGUUAUCUUGGUUAAUGUUAAGUUUAUGUGACAGUUGUAAUAAAGCUUAGCUUUAUACUUUGGACUAUCAACAUAAUAUCAAUGAUUAGUAUAGAAGGCGAGACAUUUCAGUGUGUGCACUCUUGUAUUUCUCUAGUAUCUAUAAUUGCAUUUACUUGAUUUAAAUCUUACUUCUGUUGUAUGAUUGCCUUACUAUAUACUUUUAAUAAACCUCUGUGACAGA